AGAAGCCCGGCUCCUCGCCGGGGAAGGCCGGAUGCUGGCCCGCCGGGACCUGGGACUUGUGCCACAUGGAGUGUCGGGAGUCUCCAUUGCCGCGAGUUCUACACCACAGGGCCAGGCUGUUUGCUCCCCAUCGGUCGCUGCCCCCAGCACCCUGUUGUUAUUAAGGACUCAUUUGCUUGGAGCGGCAUCAUUACAAGGGUGUGGGCACCAGAUACUGCUACACCAUCUCAUCGGCAUGGACCUAUAUGUGGCAGCAAGUCCAUCUCAUCGCUUUUGGUGAAAGUCAGUCCAGUUUGUAAAGAUUCUCAUUGUCACUGUAGACGAGGAACUGGGACACCAAAAGGAGAAACUCUGGCCACGCUUGCACCCUGUUCCCAAUCCUGGUCCAGUGUCACCCACAGAUGGUAAGGAGCUCUAGAGACCUCACCAGCCCCUGGGAUUGGUCACCUCACUCUUCUAUGGACAGAGAUUCCUGCUGGGAUCCUUUGAGGGCAAGCAGACCCUUCUUCCAGCUCGGACUGUGAACUCCACUGCAGCC
Molecule: long non-coding RNA, 538 nt
Filed under: Homo sapiens (human)
Lineage: Eukaryota; Metazoa; Chordata; Mammalia; Primates; Hominidae
Description: long intergenic non-protein coding RNA 1140
Source: RNAcentral